Long non-coding RNA from Anolis carolinensis (green anole), 406 nucleotides. RefSeq lists it as uncharacterized. The record is from RefSeq and is a predicted model, not a curated record. The transcript is spliced from 3 exons. NCBI's taxonomy places the organism in Eukaryota, Metazoa, Chordata, Lepidosauria, Squamata, Anolidae.
UUGUCUACAAGGCGGGAGGUGUUUCCACCAAUAUGGAUCCUUAUUUCCAAACAAAAUUGAGCCUCAAAGGUUGGGAUCAAGAAGGCUAGUGGGAAUUUAUCAAUCCUGCUCACGGAAAAGAGGAACCCCGCUGUUCUUUCCAGCCACUUCUUGCUUAAUUAUUUAAGUCUCUCCCAGGAGAACAGAGUUGUUGAGUGCCUGUAAACUUACAGAAUUUAUUGGCUGUGAGAGGAGGAACAUUUUAUUUCCUGAGAAAUCCUGUGGAGAGGACUACAGUGUCUGCAUCGAGGGAAUUAGUUAUCCUACUCUAUUCAGUUUUGGUCAGACCCUUUAUUCUGUAAGAUUCAAGAAUCAAUGCCAAAAAUUGAUACUAAGUUUAUUGAGCCAAUGUUUAUUGAUUUCAUCC